Dromaius novaehollandiae (emu) is the source of this 1587-nucleotide RNA transcript. RefSeq lists it as uncharacterized. The record is from RefSeq and is a predicted model, not a curated record. The transcript has 3 exons. Lineage: Eukaryota; Metazoa; Chordata; Aves; Casuariiformes; Dromaiidae.
GCCCGGAGGGGCGGGGAGGGGAGGUGCCGUGCCGUGCCGUGCCGUGCCGUGCCGUGCCGUGCCGUGCCGUGCCGGCGGCGGCAGCAGCACCCGCGUGUCCCGGCUCGCUGGGUGAGCGGCUGGCUGGCUGUUCGCCUGAGUAGCAGCGAAAAGCCUCGGGGUGCUUCUGCUUCAGGCUGGGUUAAAUCGUUGGCCGGAGGGUGAUUAAAAAUACGCCUGGCUGUUCUCUGAAAUAAUUACUUUAAGAAAAGCCAUAGGUACCAUAAAGAAGUUAUCCGAGUUAUGUUUUUCAGCCCCAAUUGAAAUGUUCGGUUCGAGGCGUGGUAAUGCAUCCUUUAGCAAUGGCAGUGAUGUGCUAGAGCUGUGAUCAGUCUGCAGAGUUUUCUUUGAAUCUGACUGGUGAAGAAACACACGCUCUCUUGUUAGUAACCCGGCAAAGGGGACCUGCUCGAGCCCUUGCAGGGCACAGCUGGCCCCCUUUUUCCCAGCUGUGAGUUACUCUGUAAUCAGGGAGCUUUUGAGGACUUGACAGCUUGGGAUGCUGCGUGUGAAACCUCAGCCGUCCAGUCGGGUGCUCUGCGCCGCAGAAGCAGUAGGGGGAGCAUGUGUUAUUCCCAAACCUCUAUUAACUGCUGUAAAAGGAAGAGGGGGAAAGUUUUGGUGUAACAAAUCUCAUCCCCUCACUUGACCUUUUACAAACUGUAGAAGCUAAUGACAAUAAAAUGAAGAUUCAUAUGGUUAACUUCUUCAGGCGGCUGAAAGGAUUUUUAGGAAGAAAAAAAAAGGAAAAGAGUUAACCAACUUAUUGAUCUUCUCAGAGGGACUUUAGCCUCACAUCCAUGCUGAAGUAAAAUUUAACUUGCAAGCAACCAAAAUUGUUUAAGGAAAGUAUGUUUAUGAACUUGGAAACUGCACACAAAGAUACGGUUUUUUGCUCUGUUCCCUUUUAAAAAACCUUAUGCUUAUUUUUGCAUGUGGCAUGCUUUCUGAAAAUGAGAAAGAGCAGUCAAUAAACCGAGCUGGUAUUGUUCAAGAGAAUAUUCAGCCUCCAGGAUUAAAAGUGUGGUCUGAUCCAUUUGGAAGGAAGUAAUGUUGCUGGCUGAGUGCAUCGCAUGGCAGGACUGAAGAUGGACAUCUUCAGUUGCCUCGUCUUAUGUUGACGUGUGUCUUCAAGUGUUGGUGGAAAGAAUGCUGAAUAUGCUGUGUGGGCACAUGAGGAACAACAAACACUACUGGUUGGGAUGCCAAGAGGAAAAAACAUACUAUUUUGACAGUGGAUCCUGGGGCAUAAUGCACAGACUGUAAGCAAGCUGAAUGAUUCUUGAGUUUAGAACUGAAAUAUUUAUUUCCUUGGCAAGAGGGAAGUGGAAUUGUUUUUGUGGUUAAUCUGUAAACAUUUCUAUAAUAAAUUAUGAAUAGAAUAAAUGAUGCAGACUGCUACAGCUUCCUCCAUGGUAUGAGAAUUACUUUUUGUGGUUUUAUUAUGAAAACAUAAUAGAAUGAUAGAAGUAUAUUCUGAGAGAGAUCAGUGCAGAAAAUAUAACAUGACGAGUAUAAACUUGUAUAUUAAAAUGUCUUCCUUUUAAA